RNAcentral lists this ribosomal RNA (394 nucleotides) under uncultured bacterium. RNAcentral describes it as "bacterial SSU rRNA". It matches the Rfam family "Bacterial small subunit ribosomal RNA", at positions 123 to 518 of the family's 1533-position model. The record is from RNAcentral.
AACCAACCCAUAACAGGGGGAUAACCCGGAGAAAUCCGGACUAAUACCGCAUAAGACCACGAUAUCGCAUGAUAUAGAGGUCAAAUAUUUAUAGGUUAUGGACGGGCAUGCGUCUGAUUAGCUGGUGGCGGGUAACGCCACCAAGGCAUCGAUCAGUAGGGGUUCUGAGAGGAAGGUCCCCCACAUUGGAACUGAGACACGGUCCAAACUCCUACGGGAGGCAGCAGUGAGGAAUAUUGGUCAAUGGGCGAAAGCCUGAACCAGCCAUGUCGCGUGAAGGAAUGAAGGUCCUAUGGAUUGUAAACUUCUUUUGCAGGAGGGUAAAGUGAGCUACGUGUAGUUCAUUGCAAGUACCCUGCGAAUAAGCAUCGGCUAACUCCGUGCCAGCCGCAGC